GAUGACAAAAACAUUGUUUGGUUAAUUGUGAGUGUCAGUAUGCAAUUAGUGGAGAGAAAAGGGGAGGAGACAUGAGAGAUGGUGGGUAAAUAAAGAGGGACAUGGGAGCAGACUAAUAUCACAAUGUCUUCACGUGAAAGAGUGUCAGUUUAUGGUUAUCAGGUACUUUUGAGGUCAAGACUCUGUCAACUUUGAUUGUUUUCCCUUUUGGUGCGAAAUUCAAAGGUACAUUUCCCUUAAAAUAAAUCUAUAUGAAUCUGAGUCGGAUCCUAUUUUGAAACUUUGUUAUUCUCUCCAGGGAUUUAAAGUUUGUUUAAAUAUAGAUAAUGUAGCUUUGGAAGGAAUCUGUAAUUUUUUAUUUAAUUUUGUUAGACUAAA
Long non-coding RNA from Manihot esculenta (cassava), 378 nucleotides. RefSeq lists it as uncharacterized. NCBI's taxonomy places the organism in Eukaryota, Viridiplantae, Streptophyta, Magnoliopsida, Malpighiales, Euphorbiaceae. The record is from RefSeq and is a predicted model, not a curated record. The transcript is spliced from 2 exons.